UAAGACUAUAUUGUUACAAUAUUAUAAUUUAAGUAUAUAAAAUAAUUUAGCUUAUAUAUAUAAUAUAUUUAACUAACUAUACCUUCAGGUAUAGGACAUUAUAGUCUGGUUAGUUUCGAUGGGGCGUCGGCAUCACACAAAAUAACUGAUGUGUCUAACUGAUAAUUAAUAUAAACAUUCUAUUCAUUAUAUAAGAAUAUGAAUAUAAUAGUAUGACCAAGUACAGUAAGACUAGAUUGUAACUAGUACAUAAUAAUAUGUAUAUAACAUAUAUUAAAUGAUAUGGAUAAUAACCUAACUGUGCUAUGAUAAGGAGACUUACAAGUCGACUUAGUACGUAAGUAUAGUAUAAUGAACAGGUGAUUUCUUCAGCAUAGAGUGCCGAUAACG
Molecule: ribosomal RNA, 390 nt
Filed under: Candida albicans
Lineage: Eukaryota; Fungi; Ascomycota; Pichiomycetes; Serinales; Debaryomycetaceae
Description: partial large subunit ribosomal RNA
Source: RNAcentral